UGGUGGAGUGAUUUGUCUGGUUAAUUCCGAUAACGAACGAGACUUUACCCUGCUAAAUAGUACGUCAGUAUUUGUACCUUCGGGUAUACUUGCUGGCGCUGACUUCUUAGAGGGAUUGGUAGUAUUCAAAUUACACGAAACAAAGCAAUAACA
RNAcentral lists this ribosomal RNA (153 nucleotides) under uncultured eukaryote. RNAcentral describes it as "partial 18S ribosomal RNA". It matches the Rfam family "Eukaryotic small subunit ribosomal RNA", at positions 1299 to 1458 of the family's 1831-position model. The record is from RNAcentral.